This 29-nucleotide small RNA is filed under the name Bombyx mori (domestic silkworm). Its description in RNAcentral is "ovarian small RNA-13799". Lineage: Eukaryota; Metazoa; Arthropoda; Insecta; Lepidoptera; Bombycidae. The record is from RNAcentral.
CCGAGAUUGAAGCUUCCUCGCUCGCGGAG